Molecule: long non-coding RNA, 395 nt
Filed under: Strongylocentrotus purpuratus (purple sea urchin)
Lineage: Eukaryota; Metazoa; Echinodermata; Echinoidea; Camarodonta; Strongylocentrotidae
Description: uncharacterized LOC115924978
Source: RNAcentral
GACAAUAGUCAAAUUACUGACUAAUCGCCAUUAAACCAAAACACAACAACAACAUUUGUCGUCGCGAGAGCAUCGUCACUUUGUGGUUUGUCUCUUGGACAAAAUCUUGCCUUGUGAAGCCGAAUCUUGACCUUAGUUGUACACGUCGUUUAGUUUUGACUGUUCUUUAGAGACUUGGUUAGUACCGGUGCUUUGGACUUUGACAGGGGCUUUGGACUUUGACGGAAGAAAGUUUUUGGAGUGUGGAUUUGGUGGAUGAGGAGGAGGACGCUGUUUCGGUGGACGAGGCGGCGGUGGACGCGGAAGGGAGAAUUCGGCGGAGGAAGGGGACGAGGAGGUUAUUGACUGUUUUCAAGAUUGCUGAGAGUUGCAGAGAGACCGAGGGUGGUACACUC